Molecule: non-coding RNA, 74 nt
Organism: Potamilus streckersoni
Lineage: Eukaryota; Metazoa; Mollusca; Bivalvia; Unionida; Unionidae
Source: the annotation of a GenBank genome assembly
GGCUCCGGUGGCCUAGUGGUUAGAGCGUAAGCCUCGGAUGCAGGAGGUCGUGGGUACGAUCCCCGGUAGAGUCA